UUAGGUUAAGUUAAAAAGGGCCCACGGUGGAUGCCUGGGCACUAGGGGCGGAGGAAGGACGGGACGCACACCGAUAGGCUUGGGGGAGCGGUAAGUAAGCUUUGAUCCGGAGAUUU
Molecule: ribosomal RNA, 116 nt
Filed under: uncultured bacterium
Lineage: Bacteria
Description: partial 23S ribosomal RNA
Rfam family: Bacterial large subunit ribosomal RNA
Source: RNAcentral